ACGAUGAACUCCAGCUUGCUGGGGGGAUUAGUGGCGAACGGGUGAGUAACACGUGAGUAACCUGCCCUUAACUCUGGGAUAAGCCUGGGAAACUGGGUCUAAUACUGGAUAUUGACUUUUCCUCGCAUGGGGUUUGGUUGAAAGCUUUAGUGGUUUUGGAUGGACUCGCGGCCUAUCAGCUUGUUGGUGAGGUAAUGGCUCACCAAGGCGACGACGGGUAGCCGGCCUGAGAGGGUGACCGGCCACACUGGGACUGAGACACGGCCCAGACUCCUACGGGAGGCAGCAGUGGGGAAUAUUGCACAAUGGGCGAAAGCCUGAUGCAGCGACGCCGCGUGAGGGAUGACGGCCUUCGGGUUGUAAACCUCUUUCAGUAGGGAACAAGGCCACACGUUGUGUGGUUGAGGGUACUUGCAGAAGAAGCACCGGCUAACUACGUGCCAGCAGCCGCGGUAAUACGUAGGGUGCAAGCGUUAUCCGGAAUUAUUGGGCGUAAAGAGCUCGUAGGCGGUUUGUCGCGUCUGCCGUGAAAGUCCGGGGCUCAACCCCGGAUCUGCGGUGGGUACGGGCAGACUAGAGUGAUGUAGGGGAGACUGGAAUUCCUGGUGUAGCGGUGAAAUGCGCAGAUAUCAGGAGGAACACCGAUGGCGAAGGCAGGUCUCUGGGCAUUAACUGACGCUGAGGAGCGAAAGCAUGGGGAGCGAACAGGAUUAGAUACCCUGGUAGUCCAUGCCGUAAACGUUGGGCACUAGUUUAGGGACAUUCCACGUUUUCCGCGCCGUAGCUAACGCAUUAAGUGCCCGCUUGAGGAGUACGGCCGCAAGGCUAAAACUCAAAGGAAUUGACGGGGGCCCGCACAAGCGGCGGAGCAUGCGGAUUAAUUCGAUGCAACGCGAAGAACCUUACCAAGGCUUGACAUAAACUGGAAACGCUUGGAAACAAGUGCCCCGCUUGCGGUCGGUUUACAGGUGGUGCAUGGUUGUCGUCAGCUCGUGUCGUGAGAUGUUGGGUUAAGUCCCGCAACGAGCGCAACCCUCGUUCUAUGUUGCCAGCACGUAAUGGUGGGGACUCAUAGGAGACUGCCGGGGUCAACUCGGAGGAAGGUGAGGACGACGUCAAAUCAUCAUGCCCCUUAUGUCUUGGGCUUCACGCAUGCUACAAUGGCCGGUACAAUGGGUUGCGAUACUGUGAGGUGGAGCUAAUCCCAAAAAGCCGGUCUCAGUUCGGAUUGGGGUCUGCAACUCGACCCCAUGAAGUCGGAGUCGCUAGUAAUCGCAGAUCAGCAACGCUGCGGUGAAUACGUUCCCGGGCCUUGUACACACCGCCCGUCAAGUCACGAAAGUUGGUAACACCCGAAGCCGGUGGCCUAACCC
This 1373-nucleotide ribosomal RNA is filed under the name Arthrobacter sp. 4-86. RNAcentral's name for it is "16S ribosomal RNA". It matches the Rfam family "Bacterial small subunit ribosomal RNA", at positions 66 to 1441 of the family's 1533-position model. The record is from RNAcentral. Lineage: Bacteria; Bacillati; Actinomycetota; Actinomycetes; Micrococcales; Micrococcaceae.